GUACACUUGAGCAGUACAUACACUAAAAUUGGAACAAUGCAGAGAAGAUGAGCACGGCCCCUGCACAGGAUAACAUACAAAUUCAUGAAGCAUUCCAUCUUUUU
Molecule: small nuclear RNA, 104 nt
Organism: Pongo pygmaeus (Bornean orangutan)
Lineage: Eukaryota; Metazoa; Chordata; Mammalia; Primates; Hominidae
Source: RefSeq, a predicted model, not a curated record